AAAAAAUAGCUAUUCGAACACACCUACUCUGUUUUUGUGAUUCAUUAGAUAGGUAUCUCAAUUGACCCAUAUAUUUCAUCUUUUCGUACUGUCAUUUUUUUACGUUAUAAAGUCAACCUGUAGCUUUGAUAUAUAAUAAUGAUAAAAUCUGAAGCGAGAUGCUAUAUAAAAUACUCUUGCUUUGUACGUUUUAAAGACAAA
This 201-nucleotide long non-coding RNA is filed under the name Mytilus galloprovincialis (Mediterranean mussel). Lineage: Eukaryota; Metazoa; Mollusca; Bivalvia; Mytilida; Mytilidae. The record is from RNAcentral.